AAUUUUCACUUUGUGAUUGUUCCUGGUCCAGGCUGGGAAACCUCUGUAAACAUGUCAUCAAGGUGGCCACUUUCUGCAGAAGCCGACAGGUUGCAAGACCAUCAUUGUCUGCUCAAGUUUAUAAACAGGCUUUGCUGACUCUUCUUCAUAAUCCUCCUGAUGAUCCUUUAGUUCUGGAUCAUACAAUUCUACAUGUGACCCGUUUGCAACAAGACAUUAAAGCCUUGGAAGAAUUGUCCAACAGUGGAUUGCUCCAGCCUAUAGCUCCUGAUUUGAGUUCUCCAAUGACUGAAAAUCCUCUUCCUUUUCAGCGCAUCCAGUGAGUGACCCAUUUUGAGAAUAGAUUAACUAUGUUCAAGUUAAAUCACAUUUUCGUGCUUAUCAACUUGAGGGUAUGUUGUGAUCCUUGAACGAUCAACUUGCAAGGAAAGGAUAAAAAGGGAUAUAACCGUGCUUUCAACGAGGUUCCAUAACUAUUUGGUCCAUGAAACCACAACACUCUUUGCAGAAGUUACAGUCUUGAAGUGCUACUUAUGGUCCGAACAUUUAUUUGUAAAGCAUUCUUGACCUUCCAAAUACAGUGUAGGUGGAGUUUGACCAAUGGUUAUCGGAAGUUUGAGGAUGAAGAUGAACUCCAGGGAGCCAAAAGAAAUGAGAAGGGAAGGAACAACCCAGUCUAGGUUAUGUUGAGGUUCAUAAAUGCAUUGAGACUUUAAGGUGUUUUGCAGAUCAAACCACCACGCAGUCAGUGUCGUGAUCAUUGGAAGAGAUAUUCAUUUGAUAUGGUGUCUCUUGGUGUAGGAUACUCGGGUGAUAAGUCGUUAGAUGUCACAUGA
Molecule: non-coding RNA, 836 nt
Organism: Cajanus cajan (pigeon pea)
Lineage: Eukaryota; Viridiplantae; Streptophyta; Magnoliopsida; Fabales; Fabaceae
Source: RefSeq, a predicted model, not a curated record